UACGUAGGGUGCGAGCGUUGUCCGGAAUUACUGGGCGUAAAGAGCUCGUAGGCGGUUUGUCGCGUCGGGAGUGAAAACACUGGGCUUAACUCAGUGCUUGCUUCCGAUACGGGCAGACUAGAGGUAUGCAGGGGAGAACGGAAUUCCUGGUGUAGCGGUGAAAUGCGCAGAUAUCAGGAGGAACACCGGUGGCGAAGGCGGUUCUCUGGGCAUUACCUGACGCUGAGGAGCGAAAGUGUGGGGAGCGAACAGG
RNAcentral lists this ribosomal RNA (253 nucleotides) under uncultured bacterium. Its description in RNAcentral is "partial 16S ribosomal RNA". It matches the Rfam family "Bacterial small subunit ribosomal RNA", at positions 524 to 776 of the family's 1533-position model. The record is from RNAcentral.